This 396-nucleotide ribosomal RNA is filed under the name Ebriida sp. TAGIRI1 lineage. RNAcentral's name for it is "partial small subunit ribosomal RNA". It matches the Rfam family "Eukaryotic small subunit ribosomal RNA", at positions 582 to 975 of the family's 1831-position model. The record is from RNAcentral. Lineage: Eukaryota; Cercozoa; Thecofilosea.
AUUCCAGCUCCAAUAGCGUAUAUUAAAGUUGUUGCGGUUAAAAAGCUCGUAGUUGGAUUUCUGGUCUGAUGCCCUGGCCCGCGUCGAUUUCGAUGUGAGUGCCGGCUGUGCGUCUACCAUCCUUCUAGAAAACGUUCCUACCCUUCACUGGGCCGGGUUCGCGAUCUAGAUCUUUUACUUUGAAAAAAUUAGAGUGUUUAAAGCAGGCUUUUGCUAUGAAUACAUUAGCAUGGAAUAAUAAUCUAGGACUUUGGUCUUAUUUUGUUGGUCUCUAAGGCCGAGGUAAUGAUUAAUAGGGAUAGUUGGGGGCGUUUAUAUUCCGUUGUCAGAGGUGAAAUUCUUGGAUUUACGGAAGAUAAGCUACUGCGAAAGCAUUCGCCAAGGAUGUUUUCAUUA